AAAAAGUUGGUGGUGAAAUCCCAGAGCUUAACUCUGGAACUGCCAUCAAAACUUUUCAGCUAGAGUUUGAUAGAGGAAAGCAGAAUUUCUAGUGUAGAGGUGAAAUUCGUAGAUAUUAGAAAGAAUACCAAUUGCGAAGGCAGCUUUCUGGAUCAUUACUGACACUGAGGAACGAAAGCAUGGGUAGCGAAGAGGAUUAGAUACCCUCGUAGUCCAUGCCGUAAACGAUGUGUGUUAGACGUUGGAAAUUUAUUUUCAGUGUCGCAGCGAAAGCAAUAAACACACCGCCUGGGGAGUACGACCGCAAGGUUAAAACUCAAAUGAAUUGACGGGGACCCGCACAAGUAGUGGAGCAUGUGGUUUAAUUCGAAGAUACGCGCAGAACCUUACCAACACUUGACAUGUUCGUCGCGACUUUAAGAGAUUAAAGUUUUCGGUUCGGCCGGACGAAACACAGGUGCUGCAUGGCUGUCGUCAGCUCGUGUCGUGAGAUGUUGGGUUAAGUCCCGCAACGAGCGCAACCCUUACUUUUAGUUGCCAUCAUUAAGUUGGGCACUCUGAAAGAACUGCCAGUGAUAAGCUGGAGGAAGGUGGGGAUGACGUCAAGUCCUCAUGGCCCUUACGUGUUGGGCUACACACGUGCUACAAUGGUAUUU
RNAcentral lists this ribosomal RNA (656 nucleotides) under uncultured bacterium. Its description in RNAcentral is "bacterial SSU rRNA". It matches the Rfam family "Bacterial small subunit ribosomal RNA", at positions 582 to 1238 of the family's 1533-position model. The record is from RNAcentral.